UUUGAUUUCCACAUCAGGUGUGUGCGU
RNAcentral lists this non-coding RNA (27 nucleotides) under Homo sapiens (human). The record is from RNAcentral. Lineage: Eukaryota; Metazoa; Chordata; Mammalia; Primates; Hominidae.